This 433-nucleotide ribosomal RNA is filed under the name uncultured bacterium. Its description in RNAcentral is "partial 16S ribosomal RNA". It matches the Rfam family "Bacterial small subunit ribosomal RNA", at positions 29 to 507 of the family's 1533-position model. The record is from RNAcentral.
AAUGAACGCUGGCGGCAUGCCUAACACAUGCAAGUCGAACGAAGGCUUCGGCCUUAGUGGCGCACGGGUGCGUAACGCGUGGGAAUCUGCCCUUGGGUUCGGAAUAACAGUUAGAAAUGACUGCUAAUACCGGAUGAUGUCGUAAGACCAAAGAUUUAUCGCCCCAGGAUGAGCCCGCGUAGGAUUAGCUAGUUGGUGGGGUAAAGGCCUACCAAGGCGACGAUCCUUAGCUGGUCUGAGAGGAUGAUCAGCCACACUGGGACUGAGACACGGCCCAGACUCCUACGGGAGGCAGCAGUGGGGAAUAUUGGACAAUGGGCGAAAGCCUGAUCCAGCAAUGCCGCGUGAGUGAUGAAGGCCUUAGGGUUGUAAAGCUCUUUUACCCGGGAUGAUAAUGACAGUACCGGGAGAAUAAGCUCCGGCUAACUUCGUG